GAGCGCAUGAGUGGAGGGAGAAGAGGGAGAAGCAGAGUCUCAAGAACAAUCUUGUCUUGAGGAGUGUUGAAAACAUGGUGGAGUGUGAUUUAUAUCUAGGAUUUGGGGUUCAAUUCCUACUUUUAUUUGAGUUGGCGUAGUGAUUAAUGAAGCAUCCUCACUUUCCCUCUUAACAUCACCAAAUCUGAGGUGCAUGCAAUUUAUUUUCAGGAUUUAGGUUUUAAUUCCCACUCCUCUUCUAUCAGGUUCCCAUGAUUCAAUUAAUUUUUAUGGCGAACGAUAAGAAUUUCGGCGAGUUCUUGGUGUUAUCGAGUGCCCGAACAGGUCUAAAGAGGGAGUUUGCAUUUUCCAUGUAGGCGCAAUCAGAGAUCUGUGGAUCUUUAGGACUUGUGCCAGCAAAAACAAAUAUGGGGUUCAAGGCGGUCCUAUCAACAAGAGGUCUAAGAAAUUUGGUUCCUCUGGGGUUCAGAGAGAUGAGCAGAAUUACGCGAAGCCGGUGCCAGAGCAUCGAUGUUGUCGAACCCAUUGUUUUGGAAGAUGUCAAGGGAAAGCAAGUGAAGGCUAUAAAAUCAAAAACAUAAAAUUAGAGGAGAAACAGGGGCUAUGGCUGCUAUGAAUAUAAACUCCUUCUCCGGUAGAUUCUGGAUUCUCCUGGCAUUGUUUGCUAUUGUGGAUUCUUCAUGCAACACCACUGACCAUGAGUUAUCUGUUGAUAUAUAUUGUUAAUAUUAUUCAUAUGGCUUCCGAUAAGUCUCUCUCUCUCUCUCUCUCUCUCUCACACACACACACAGACAUUUAAUGUUUAAUGAAUCAAAUCAUAACACGCACACACACACAGAGAUAUUUAAUGUUUAAUGAAUCAAAUUUACUCAAAAAAAUUCGAUUAAUUCUAGAAUAGAUGAUAUAAGAAUGAAGAAUAUUGUCAAUCGUUAUCUGUUGAUAUAUAACAGAUAAACACAGCCACUUGCAUAUGACGUAGUUUUAUUCCUAGAAAGUAGCCAUGGCAAGCCUUCUUGUGUUGGCACAGCAUCUUUAUAAUGUCUUGUUAUAGGAGCUUGUGAUGUUAACUAUUUGCUUAAUUUAUGUAAUAAAGAAAUUAGCUUAAUAAUUAAUCCUUGAUGACAUUUAGUUCACACUCUUCCAAACCGCCAAGGCUAAACCUGUGUUUCUAGUUUCCAUUGGUCAACGCAAUUAGUUUUCUCAUGGCCGUGGUAUUUAUUUUUUUAAUUAUUUUUCCCAGAUGCCACACUAAAAAAUCUGUUUGAUGAAAAGAGGCUUGUAUUAAAAAGAUAGAGGAUCUAAAAAUAACAAAGCAUAACCUCGAGUUGAAACCAGCGUUGAGGAAACUACUUUGAAAUUUCCUUGUAGCUCCUGUUGGACGAUACAGUAAAACCACAGUGGUAUUAUUUCCUUUUAAACCUUUUAAACUAAAAACCAAAUCUCAAAUUCAGUUCGUUGUUCUCUAUGGACAGCCAAGUGAGCAUGUCUUCCCCGAGUAUAUAUAGCUUUUGCCAGGCUCUGCUUUCCCCCAUAUCCCAACAACUAUCAACAAUUUCUCACUACCAUUGUCGUCUUUCAUGCUCAAUGUUCAGAAACUACCAUGUCUAGCAUGGCUGGUCAAGUUAUCAAGUGCAGAGCUGCAAGCCACUGUCGAUUGAAGAGGUAGAGGUGGUGCUGCCAACAGGCUAGAGAAGUGUGUCUCAAGAUUCUUUUCACAGCCCUUUGCCAUACUGAUGUUUACUUUUGGGAAGCCAAG
Molecule: long non-coding RNA, 1756 nt
Organism: Prosopis cineraria
Lineage: Eukaryota; Viridiplantae; Streptophyta; Magnoliopsida; Fabales; Fabaceae
Exons: 3
Source: RefSeq, a predicted model, not a curated record